Molecule: ribosomal RNA, 449 nt
Filed under: uncultured bacterium
Lineage: Bacteria
Description: bacterial SSU rRNA
Rfam family: Bacterial small subunit ribosomal RNA
Source: RNAcentral
UUCCAGACUCCUACGGGAGGCAGCAGUGGGGAAUAUUGCACAAUGGGGGAAACCCUGAUGCAGCGACGCCGCGUGAGCGAUGAAGUAUUUCGGUAUGUAAAGCUCUAUCAGCAGGGAAGAAGAUGACGGUACCUGACUAAGAAGCCCCGGCUAACUACGUGCCAGCAGCCGCGGUAAUACGUAGGGGGCAAGCGUUAUCCGGAUUUACUGGGUGUAAAGGGAGCGUAGACGGCGAUGCAAGCCAGAUGUGAAAGCCCGGGGCUCAACCCCGGGACUGCAUUUGGAACUGUGUGGCUGGAGUGUCGGAGAGGCAGGCGGAAUUCCUAGUGUAGCGGUGAAAUGCGUAGAUAUUAGGAGGAACACCAGUGGCGAAGGCGGCCUGCUGGACGAUGACUGACGUUGAGGCUCGAAAGCGUGGGGAGCAAACAGGAUUAGAUACCCCCGUACUC